This 381-nucleotide ribosomal RNA is filed under the name uncultured bacterium. RNAcentral describes it as "bacterial SSU rRNA". It matches the Rfam family "Bacterial small subunit ribosomal RNA", at positions 68 to 436 of the family's 1533-position model. The record is from RNAcentral.
AAUUUCGACAGAUCCCUUCGGGGUGAAGAUGAAAUGGAUUAGCGGCGGACGGGUGAGUAACACGUGAGUAACCUGCCUUUGACAUUGGGAUAGCCUCGGGAAACUGGGAUUAAUACCAAAUGACACUAACUGAUCACAUGAUCAAUUAGUCAAAGAAAUUCGGUCAAAGAUGGACUCGCGGCUGAUUAGCUAGUUGGUGAGGUAACGGCCCACCAAGGCGACGAUCAGUAGCCGGCCUGAGAGGGUGAUCGGCCACAUUGGAACUGAGACACGGUCCAAACUCCUACGGGAGGCAGCAGUGGGGAAUAUUGCACAAUGGGGGAAACCCUGAUGCAGCGACGCCGCGUGAGCGAAGAAGGCCUUCGGGUCGUAAAGCUCUUU